This 486-nucleotide ribosomal RNA is filed under the name Triticum aestivum (bread wheat). RNAcentral's name for it is "partial small subunit ribosomal RNA". Lineage: Eukaryota; Viridiplantae; Streptophyta; Magnoliopsida; Poales; Poaceae. The record is from RNAcentral.
AUGGCAUUGGCAUUGACCCCGCGCGGGGCAGCCAAAACCCGAGGACAAAACCGAAAGAAAGCGACGCACGGAGAUAUAGGGGGAGCCGGGGAAAAUGGCCAAAAGUCACCGCGAUGUCGCCCCAGGAAACGCCGGGCGGAGAUACAGGAGGCCUCCAAAAAUCACCAUCACCGGGAGGGAAGACGCACCCGACCCCGACCCGGCCGCCCGUGGGUGGUGCGUGUCCUGUCUCCUGUGCGCGGGUUCCAGCUCACGCGCACGCACCCCUGCCCAACUAGAGAGAGUAACCCCUCCCCAAAAAAACCCAAACCGAUUCCCAAUUUACUCCCCACCCCCGGCUGCGGCAGCACGCUCCCCCACCCCCUUCCUCCUCCUCCUCCGCCCCCAACCCGCCGCCCCCAAUCCGGAGGAGGCAGGGAGGAAGGCCGGCCGCCCCCCGCCGCCCCGCCGGCCGCCCGGACCGACGGGGAGUCGCAACUAGACUAG